UACGGAGGAUGCGAGCGUUAUCCGGAUUUAUUGGGUUUAAAGGGUGCGUAGGCGGGACCAUAAGUCAGCGGUGAAAUUUUGCAGCUUAACUGUAACAGUGCCGUUGAUACUGGGGAGCUAGGAUUUGGUUGCUGUGGGUGGAAUGUGUGGUGUAGCGGUGAAAUGCUUAGAGAUCACACAGAAUAUCGAUUGCGAAGGCAGCUCACAAAGCCAAGAUUGACGCUGAGGCACGAAAGUGUGGGGAUCAAACAGGA
This 254-nucleotide ribosomal RNA is filed under the name uncultured prokaryote. Its description in RNAcentral is "partial 16S ribosomal RNA". It matches the Rfam family "Bacterial small subunit ribosomal RNA", at positions 524 to 777 of the family's 1533-position model. The record is from RNAcentral.